This 874-nucleotide ribosomal RNA is filed under the name Xenoramularia arxii. Its description in RNAcentral is "eukaryotic LSU rRNA". It matches the Rfam family "Eukaryotic large subunit ribosomal RNA", at positions 39 to 943 of the family's 3401-position model. Lineage: Eukaryota; Fungi; Ascomycota; Dothideomycetes; Mycosphaerellales; Mycosphaerellaceae. The record is from RNAcentral.
CAUAUCAAUAAGCGGAGGAAAAGAAACCAACAGGGAUUGCCUCAGUAACGGCGAGUGAAGCGGCAACAGCUCAAAUUUGAAAUCUGGCCCCCCGGCCCGAGUUGUAAUUUGUAGAGGAUGCUUCUGGGCAGCGACCGGUCUAAGUUCCUUGGAACAGGACGUCAUAGAGGGUGAGAAUCCCGUAUGCGACCGGCCCGCGCCCUCCACGUAGCUCCUUCGACGAGUCGAGUUGUUUGGGAAUGCAGCUCUAAAUGGGAGGUAAAUUUCUUCUAAAGCUAAAUACCGGCCAGAGACCGAUAGCGCACAAGUAGAGUGAUCGAAAGAUGAAAAGCACUUUGGAAAGAGAGUUAAAAAGCACGUGAAAUUGUUGAAAGGGAAGCGCUUACAACCAGACUUCUGGGCGGUGUUCCGCCGGUCUUCUGACCGGUCCACUCGCCGCCCCGAGGCCAACAUCAUCUGGGACCGCCGGACAAGACCGCAGGAAUGUGGCUCCCCUCGGGGAGUGUUAUAGCCUGCGGUGAUGCGGCGCGUCCCGGGUGAGGUCCGCGCUCCGGCAAGGAUGUUGGCGUAAUGGUUGUCAGCGGCCCGUCUUGAAACACGGACCAAGGAGUCUAACAUCUAUGCGAGUGUUCGGGUGUCAAACCCCUACGCGGAAUGAAAGUGAACGGAGGUGGGAACUUUUUGUGCACCAUCGACCGAUCCUGAUGUCCUCGGAUGGAUUUGAGUAAGAGCAUAGCUGUUGGGACCCGAAAGAUGGUGAACUAUGCCUGAAUAGGGUGAAGCCAGAGGAAACUCUGGUGGAGGCUCGCAGCGGUUCUGACGUGCAAAUCGAUCGUCAAAUUUGGGUAUAGGGGCGAAAGACUAAUCGAACCAU